AGGACGAACGCUGGCGGCGUGCUUAACACAUGCAAGUCGAGCGGUAAGGCUCCUUCGGGAGUACACGAGCGGCGAACGGGUGAGUAACACGUGAGCAAUCUGCCCUUCACUUUGGGAUAACUUCCGGAAACGGAAGCUAAUACCGAAUACGACCACUUCACGCAUGUGAUGGUGGUGGAAAGUUCCGGCGGUGAAGGAUGAGCUCGCGGCCUAUCAGCUUGUUGGUGAGGUAAUGGCUCACCAAGGCUUCGACGGGUAGCCGGCCUGAGAGGGUGACCGGCCACACUGGGGACUGAGACACGGCCCAGACUCCUACGGGAGGCAGCAGUGGGGAAUAUUGGACAAUGGGCGAAAGCCUGAUCCAGCAACGCCGCGUGAGGGAUGACUGCCUUCGGGUUGUAAACCUCUUUCAGCGGGGACGAAGCGAAAGUGACGGUACCCGCAGAAGAAGCACCGGCCAACUACGUGCCAGCAGCCGC
Molecule: ribosomal RNA, 479 nt
Filed under: uncultured bacterium
Lineage: Bacteria
Description: SSU rRNA
Rfam family: Bacterial small subunit ribosomal RNA
Source: RNAcentral